Molecule: ribosomal RNA, 640 nt
Filed under: Vibrio parahaemolyticus
Lineage: Bacteria; Pseudomonadati; Pseudomonadota; Gammaproteobacteria; Vibrionales; Vibrionaceae
Description: bacterial LSU rRNA
Rfam family: Bacterial large subunit ribosomal RNA
Source: RNAcentral
CACGAAGGUGGGCUAAUCACGGUUGGACAUCGUGAGGUUAGUGCAAUGGCAUAAGCCCGCUUGACUGCGAGAAUGACAAUUCGAGCAGGUGCGAAAGCAGGUCAUAGUGAUCCGGUGGUUCUGAAUGGAAGGGCCAUCGCUCAACGGAUAAAAGGUACUCCGGGGAUAACAGGCUGAUACCGCCCAAGAGUUCAUAUCGACGGCGGUGUUUGGCACCUCGAUGUCGGCUCAUCACAUCCUGGGGCUGAAGUCGGUCCCAAGGGUAUGGCUGUUCGCCAUUUAAAGUGGUACGCGAGCUGGGUUUAGAACGUCGUGAGACAGUUCGGUCCCUAUCUGCCGUGGGCGUUGGAAGAUUGAAGGGGGCUGCUCCUAGUACGAGAGGACCGGAGUGGACGAACCUCUGGUGUUCGGGUUGUGUCGCCAGACGCAUUGCCCGGUAGCUAAGUUCGGAAUCGAUAACCGCUGAAAGCAUCUAAGCGGGAAGCGAGCCCUGAGAUGAGUCUUCCCUGAUACUUUAAGUAUCCUAAAGGGUUGUCGGAGACUACGACGUUGAUAGGUCAGGUGUGUAAGUGCUGUGAGGCAUUGAGCUAACUGAUACUAAUUGCCCGUGAGGCUUAACCAUACAACACCCAAGGGGUUU